GGUCAAGUGGCAUGGUUAACGGCAUAUAGACCCAUGGCACAGACCAGUCGCUUUUAACUUUAAAAGCUAAGCAGUUUUAAAAUAAGGCUUUUUAACACUCCCAAACAGAAAACAACGUGAACUAGGAUCUUUUAACGAAUUGACAUUCUAACAAAAGAAGUAACGGUUACCGUAAGUGGAUCAUAACACAUCUUGACCACGCUUAAAUUAUAUUAACCUUUGGUUGUUGAUUUCAGUCGUUUUGAGCUUGAUGACCCUUUUAACGUGUUAGCGCGGCGUCGCAGUUUAUUUUUUGAAGGUUAGGGUUCUGCACGGAGAGGGAAAAUACCAUUAGUGAAAGAACUCAACACUGCAAAUUACCAAAAAAUAGAAAAACGGUGGUAAUUUUUAUUAUAGACACGUUUUAACUGGGCAUGCUAAAAUAAUGUGUUAUAUAGUACCCACCUCUUCGUCCAGGCGAUCUGAUAAUAUGCUCCGCACCCUCUGGUAUGACGUGAACAUCUGCAUGUGUCUCCACAAGGUUUUGCAGUGGUAUUGUAAACCCCAAAUGAGGUUUUUUUUAAAUGUGUAGCGACUUGUCCCUUCGUCCGUGUCUGUGGAAUAGACUCAUGCGUGUAUUGGUGUGGAGAAAGUACUCCUGUGUCUUUAAGACUCACAUGGUCGUAAAGCGUUAUUCAAAACAUUGUCGUAAUUACUCACCAGUGUUGGGCUGCGCCGUAACUGGUCUUUUUACAGCUGUGGUUUUUGGGGCUAAUGGAAAUGAAUGGAUACACACAGUCACGACCACAUUAUGGAACAACUCCCUGGGUCGCAGUGCGUCCCUGGAGCUGUCAGACACCGCCUGUUGUUGGGAGCUUCUUUGUGUGGAGAAACAUCGGGGUCCGCUGCUCUACAAAGUGAAGAGCAAAAGCCAACCCCGCCCUCUGCCCCAUGUGACAGCGGCGGGCGUGUGA
This 953-nucleotide long non-coding RNA is filed under the name Lepisosteus oculatus (spotted gar). RNAcentral's name for it is "lncRNA (ENSLOCG00000021066.1)". Lineage: Eukaryota; Metazoa; Chordata; Actinopteri; Semionotiformes; Lepisosteidae. The record is from RNAcentral.